CUAUCAACGGUCGUUACACCAAAGCUCAGCGAGAGAUUUACGACCUGGUGCUGGAAGCGCAGAUGGCCUGUGUCGAGAUGGUCCGGCCCGGCACGACGCAUGACCAACUCAAGAGUCACUCAAUCGAGGUGCUGACAAAAGGCAUGGUGCGUCUGGGAUUACUCAAAGGCGACCCGGCUGAGUUGAUCAGAGAUAAGAAGUAUGAGCAGUUUUACAUGCACGGACUGGGACACAUGCUGGGCAUCGAUGUCCACGAUGUCGGCCGCUACUACAAUAAUAAGGAGUCGCGCGCUUUAGAACCGGGCGUGGUGAUGACAGUCGAG
Molecule: unclassified non-coding RNA, 323 nt
Filed under: uncultured bacterium
Lineage: Bacteria
Description: contains 16S-23S intergenic spacer region
Source: RNAcentral